GAUGAACGCUGGCGGCGUGCCUAAUACAUGCAAGUCGAACGAAACUUCUUUAUCACCGAGUGCUUGCACUCACCGAUAAAGAGUUGAGUGGCGAACGGGUGAGUAACACGUGGGCAACCUGCCCAAAAGAGGGGGAUAACACUUGGAAACAGGUGCUAAUACCGCAUAACCAUAGUUACCGCAUGGUAACUAUGUAAAAGGUGGCUAUACUACCGCUUUUGGAUGGGCCCGCGGCGCAUUAGCUAGUUGGUAGGGUAAAGGCUUACCAAGGCAAUGAUGCGUAGCCGAAUUGAGAGGUUGAUCGGCCACAUUGGGAUUGAGACACGGCCCAAACUCCUACGGGAGGCAGCAGUAGGGAAUCUUCCACAAUGGGCGAAAGCCUGAUGGAGCAACGCCGCGUGGGUGAAGAAGGUCUUCGGAUCGUAAAACCCUGUUGUUAGAGAAGAAAGUGCGUGAGAGUAACUGUUCACGUUUCGACGGUAUCUAACCAGAAAGCCACGGCUAACUACGUG
Molecule: ribosomal RNA, 512 nt
Filed under: uncultured bacterium
Lineage: Bacteria
Description: partial 16S ribosomal RNA
Rfam family: Bacterial small subunit ribosomal RNA
Source: RNAcentral